CUGAGGACUGAGAGAAGAGUAUAACAGUACAGCGGGGUUUUAGAAGCCCAUCAGAGUGAUUUUCUGAGUUCUUUCACAUGCUGUAUGGUCAGCGAAUGGAUGGAUUAUCCAGUCAUGGUACAUAAUGAAAGACUGAGUUAGAAGAAGCUGAGCGACUCUUCAUAGUGAAGAUGUUAUGAUGCAGUUAUGUCAAAGCACUCGUUUCGGCUGGACAGAUUGGAACAGACCUGAAUGGGAAGAUGGCAGAGCUAAGACUGGCAAUGUCCAGGAAAAAUGUUAACUAAAAAUGAGUGUUUUCCCCCAGCGAGUGAGUUUGGGAAUGUUUUAAAUGUGCCUAGAAGUUUGAAAAUGUAAUACUGAGGGAAAAAAGUGAGCGCUUUGAAAAGGCUUUAAAAAGAAAAAAAAGUCUGAUGUUGAUGUUAAAUGAAGUUAAAGUUUUUACUUGAAAAGUUUGUACUUGUUUGUACUUGUAAAGUCUGUGCUGAAAAAAAUGCAGUAAAGUUUGUAUUUGAAAAGA
Molecule: long non-coding RNA, 517 nt
Organism: Paramisgurnus dabryanus
Lineage: Eukaryota; Metazoa; Chordata; Actinopteri; Cypriniformes; Cobitidae
Source: RefSeq, a predicted model, not a curated record